ACACUAAGAAACAACAGUUAUCGGAAACAGCUAUUGGAACAAACUGACACUACAGCCAUCUGUUGCAAAACCCUCAAAACUAAAUCACACUCCUAAUACUUGCCAUAUACGUCGUAAUUUACAUGCAAUAAGACUUACCACGCGAAAAAGAUCCAUAAUUCGGACAGCGAAUACACGUUCCGUGCGCCAAGCUUCGAGCCGGAGAAACCAUACCGAUUCAAUUCAAAUGCGCAGUACUACGUGAGUCGUACGAAAGUCAAACUGCACGAGUCAAGUGAGUGUCCCAGCGCUACGCGAGUCGUUGCCCCGUCCGUUUCGCCAAUAUAGCGGCCGCUGGGGAACCUAACCUGGGUUCGUGUGUAUGUAACUCGCGUCUGGUAGAUGUGCGAAAGUUAAGAAAAAAAGAGAAAAAUGCCGAAUACUCAAUAGAGAUUCCGAAAAACGUGGAAGCGUAAUCUGUGCGUACCAAUAAUAUACGUUGUUCCGAUAGAGACAACAGAAGAAUCUAACAGAAUCUACGGAAAGGAUCUUGUGAUUGGCGAGUGCCAAUUCCGCUUCCGCGAGUUCUGCUCCAUCGGACAAUGGAAAAUAUACUUCAGCGGAGUCGAAUCGGCGGAAUGUCGGUUACACGUAUAUUAUUUACAUGUACAUUUGACACGGGAAUAUAUCAGAGAAUAUUCGCGAGAUUGUUGGCAAAAUUCCAUAGAUGCUCUUUAGAUGCAUAAUAUGUGCAAUACACAAUUCAGUAAAUAAAAUAUCUGCCCUUAUUUUUUAUGAUUUUCUGCCAUUUCUCGGGUAAAUUUCGAAUUUCUGUGCGAAAAAGUUUUUUCUUAUCUCAGCCACAUCUCAAAACUAGUAGCAAUAUUCAUGUAAUACUAAUUAAUUAUAUCUUUCAUGUCUACAAAAUUUUCAUAAUGUCUAUUUGCGUGCCAUGCUUUUUUAAGAGAAGUAAUUGCGAAAUUAUCAGCGUGUACAGAAUUUCUGACAUACUAAAUUGAAAAAAAUAAUGCAAAAAGAGAUGUAAUGAUUGUCAUACGCAAACGUCUAUAAAUAUGUUAUCGUUUUAUGUGAUGUUUGCGAAGUUUUAAUGAUACAUUGAAGAUGCAAGAAUAUAUACAAUCUUGCUGCGAGAGGCAAAUUGUGAUAGCGAUAAUCACGUUACGCUUACAUGUGUGUAUAAUCACCUGCAACGGUUCGUUAAGGUUUAUCACAGCUAUCGUCUUAAAGAAGGCACAAAUAUAGAUAAUUUGAUGUUAUUUGUAAUUCUUAAUACGCACUUAUUAAAAAUCUAAUUACAUUUACAAG
Ooceraea biroi (clonal raider ant) is the source of this 1305-nucleotide long non-coding RNA. RefSeq lists it as uncharacterized. Lineage: Eukaryota; Metazoa; Arthropoda; Insecta; Hymenoptera; Formicidae. The record is from RefSeq and is a predicted model, not a curated record.